UACGUAGGGGGCAAGCGUUGUCCGGAAUCAUUGGGCGUAAAGCGCGUGUAGGCGGCUUGGUAAGUCUGCUCUGAAAGCCCGGGGCUCAACCCUGGGAGGCGGGUGGAUACUGUCAAGCUCGAGUCCGGAAGAGGAGUGUGGAAUUCCUGGUGUAGCGGUGAAAUGCGCAGAUAUCAGGAGGAACACCAAUGGCGAAGGCAGCACUCUGGGACGUGACUGACGCUGAGACGCGAAAGCGUGGGGAGCAAACAGG
RNAcentral lists this ribosomal RNA (253 nucleotides) under uncultured bacterium. RNAcentral describes it as "partial 16S ribosomal RNA". It matches the Rfam family "Bacterial small subunit ribosomal RNA", at positions 524 to 776 of the family's 1533-position model. The record is from RNAcentral.